Molecule: transfer RNA, 66 nt
Filed under: Neoeriocheir leptognathus
Lineage: Eukaryota; Metazoa; Arthropoda; Malacostraca; Decapoda; Varunidae
Description: tRNA-Leu
Source: RNAcentral
UCUAAAAUGACAGACAGAUGUGUAAGAUUUAAGCUCUUAUUAGGAAGAAUAUUUCUUCUUUUAGAA